CCUACGGGUGACAGCAGUGAGGAAUAUUGGUCAAUGGGCGGAAGUCUGAACCAGCCAAGUAGCGUGAAGGAUGACUGCCCUAUGGGUUGUAAACUUCUUUUAUAUGGGAAUAACAUGUUCCACGUGUGGGGUUUUGUAUGUACCGUAUGAAUAAGGAUCGGCUAACUCCGUGCCAGCAGCCGCGGUAAUACGGAGGAUCCGAGCGUUAUCCGGAUUUAUUGGGUUUAAAGGGAGCGUAGGUGGAUUGUCAAGUCAGUUGUGAAAGUUUGCGGCUCAACCGUCACAUUGCAGUGGAAACUGGCAGGCUUGAGUACAGGAGAGGUGGGCGGAAUUCGUGGUGUAGCGGUGAAAUGCUUAGAUAUCACGAAGAACCCCGAUUGCGAAGGCAGCUCACUGGACUGCAACUGACGCUGAGGCUCGAAAGUGUGGGUAUCAAACAGGAUUAGAUACCCCUGUAGUC
This 460-nucleotide ribosomal RNA is filed under the name uncultured bacterium. Its description in RNAcentral is "partial 16S ribosomal RNA". It matches the Rfam family "Bacterial small subunit ribosomal RNA", at positions 338 to 795 of the family's 1533-position model. The record is from RNAcentral.